RNAcentral lists this ribosomal RNA (424 nucleotides) under uncultured cyanobacterium. RNAcentral describes it as "bacterial SSU rRNA". It matches the Rfam family "Bacterial small subunit ribosomal RNA", at positions 356 to 795 of the family's 1533-position model. The record is from RNAcentral. Lineage: Bacteria; Bacillati; Cyanobacteriota.
GGGGAAUUUUCCGCAAUGGGCGCAAGCCUGACGGAGCAAGACCGCGUGCGGGAGGACGGCCUAUUGGUUGUAAACCGCUUUUGAUAGGGAAGAAGCUCUGACGGUACCUAUCGAAUCAGCAUCGGCUAACUCCGUGCCAGCAGCCGCGGUAAUACGGAGGAUGCAAGCGUUAUCCGGAAUUAUUGGGCGUAAAGCGUCCGUAGGUGGUUGUUCAAGUCUGCUGUUAAAGCGUGCGGCUUAACCGCAUACCAGCAGUGGAAACUGGGCGACUAGAGUGCGGUAGGGGUCAGGGGAAUUCCCAGUGUAGCGGUGAAAUGCGUAGAUAUUGGGAAGAACACCGGUGGCGAAAGCGCCUGACUGGACCUGCACUGACACUGAGGGACGAAAGCUAGGGGAGCGAAUGGGAUUAGAUACCCCAGUAGUC